CUCCCAUGGCGCCACCCCCUCCAUCCCUUUCUUUCUCAAGAUCCUCUCCAUCUCCCAUGGCGUCGGCUCCCCCUCUCGUUCUUCCCUUUUUGUUGAUUGUUGAUGAGAUUCUGUGUGGCCAUUUCCCAUCGAAGGGAUGAUUGUUGCCGCUUUCUUGUUGGCUGCUGUGGGCGGUAAAGCUUGCCCUACUGCCGAUGAUAUCAAGAAAAUUCUUGGAUCAGGUGUAAACUGUUAAUGAUCUUGGAUUAGCUGAAGUCUUAGGGUUUAACAUCUCAAGAAGGUUGUAUUGGAGAUUCGGAGGUUUUCUUGGCGGUGGUUUGGGACCCAUGUUUAAAUAUCUCUGUCAGAUGCAAAUCUUCGUCAAGUCUCUUACAGAAAAAACCAUCACUCUCGAGGUCGAGAGUUCUGACACCAUCAACAAUGUUAAUUGCAGCUACUGGUCGGCCACUUUAAUCAGGAUCAUCAAAAUUGUUGUAAGUUGAGUUCAUAAGUUUAUCAGUUAUGUAUAUUCUGCUUCCCCCCCCCCCCCCCCC
Molecule: long non-coding RNA, 533 nt
Organism: Spinacia oleracea (spinach)
Lineage: Eukaryota; Viridiplantae; Streptophyta; Magnoliopsida; Caryophyllales; Amaranthaceae
Exons: 4
Source: RefSeq, a predicted model, not a curated record